Molecule: ribosomal RNA, 442 nt
Filed under: uncultured bacterium
Lineage: Bacteria
Description: partial 16S ribosomal RNA
Rfam family: Bacterial small subunit ribosomal RNA
Source: RNAcentral
GAUGAACGCUGGCGGCGUGCCUUAUACAUGCAAGUCGAGUGGGUUUAGACCCACGGCAAACGGGUGAGUAACACGUAGGUACUUUCCUUGUCACAGGAAUAACCCUCCGAAAGGAGGGCUAAUACCUGAUGUGAUCGCAAGAUUAAAGGGUAUCCGCAAGGAUUACCGGACAAGAAGAGGCCUGUGGCCUAUCAGCUAGUUGGCGGGGUAAAUGCCCACCAAGGCUAUGACGGGUAGCUGGUCUUAUGAGGAUGAUCAGUCACAUGGGCACUGAGACACGGGCCCAACUCCUACGGGAGGCAGCAGUAGGGAAUUUUGCGCAAUGGGCGAAAGCCUGACGCAGCGACGCCGCGUGCGGGAUGAAGGCCUUCGGGUCGGAAACCGCUUUUAUAAGGGACGAACUUUGACGGUACCUUAUGAAUAAGAGGUUGCUAACUCUGUG